This 28-nucleotide non-coding RNA is filed under the name Bombyx mori (domestic silkworm). The record is from RNAcentral. Lineage: Eukaryota; Metazoa; Arthropoda; Insecta; Lepidoptera; Bombycidae.
UCCCAGGGUAGGGAUCCGGCGAGAGCGC